UAGGAAUCUUCGGCAAUGGACGAAAGUCUGACCGAGCAACGCCGCGUGAGUGAAGAAGGGUUUCGGAUCGUAAAACUCUGUUGUUAGAGAAGAACAAGGACGUUAGUAACUGAACGUCCCCUGACGGUAUCUAACCAGAAAGCCACGGCUAACUACGUGCCAGCAGCCGCGGUAAUACGUAGGUGGCAAGCGUUGUCCGGAUUUAUUGGGCGUAAAGCGAGCGCAGGCGGUUUCUUAAGUCUGAUGUGAAAGCCCCCGGCUCAACCGGGGAGGGUCAUUGGAAACUGGGAGACUUGAGUGCAGAAGAGGAGAGUGGAAUUCCAUGUGUAGCGGUGAAAUGCGUAGAUAUAUGGAGGAACACCAGUGGCGAAGGCGGCUCUCUGGUCUGUAACUGACGCUGAGGCUCGAAAGCGUGGGGAGCAAACAGG
This 428-nucleotide ribosomal RNA is filed under the name Gemmatimonadota bacterium. RNAcentral describes it as "Gemmatimonadetes bacterium partial 16S ribosomal RNA". It matches the Rfam family "Bacterial small subunit ribosomal RNA", at positions 356 to 776 of the family's 1533-position model. The record is from RNAcentral. Lineage: Bacteria; Pseudomonadati; Gemmatimonadota.